UACGUAGGGUGCAAGCGUUAAUCGGAAUUACUGGGCGUAAAGCGUGCGCAGGUGGUUUUGUAAGUCUGAUGUGAAAUCCCCGGGCUCAACCUGGGAAUUGCAUUGGAGACUGCAAGGCUAGAAUCUGGCAGAGGGGGGUAGAAUUCCACGUGUAGCAGUGAAAUGCGUAGAGAUGUGGAGGAACACCGAUGGCGAAGGCAGCCCCCUGGGUCAAGAUUGACGCUCAUGCACGAAAGCGUGGGGAGCAAACAGG
RNAcentral lists this ribosomal RNA (253 nucleotides) under uncultured bacterium. RNAcentral's name for it is "partial 16S ribosomal RNA". It matches the Rfam family "Bacterial small subunit ribosomal RNA", at positions 524 to 776 of the family's 1533-position model. The record is from RNAcentral.